Molecule: long non-coding RNA, 4693 nt
Filed under: Homo sapiens (human)
Lineage: Eukaryota; Metazoa; Chordata; Mammalia; Primates; Hominidae
Description: HSALNT0007941
Source: RNAcentral
GGAGGUUGGGGAUGAGGGUCCCUGGGGGAUACCAGGAUUAGCUCACAUCAGGCACUGUCUCACAUGCUAAAUCGAUGAUGAGAUUUUAUCCUGAUGGUGAGGCACCUUGGAAGAGUUUUGAGAAGGAGAGUGAGAAUGAGAUUAUUCAGUGAAAGACGUAUUUGUGAAGAUGGUGGCCGUGGUGGGAAAGGUUAGGGAAGGUCAGGAGACAGCAGUACCAACAAGAAGGCCACUGCAGUAUUCUUGAAGCUCUUGUUGCACAAACUCUCUCUGAAAGGAAGAAUAGACACUGAUUCUGAGUGCCUGCAAUGAACGCUGCGGAACUUACCGUGUGAGCUAUAAUUGAUAGAGAUGCCAACUGCCAACUAACCAGAAAAACUCCAGCAUCGUAAAUCUGUCCCCCGGCUUCUCAUGAGAACUGAUGGAUGAGGAAUUCAGCUUAAAUAUUUAACAAUCAAUAAUUCAAAUACCUAUCCAACCAUUUGCAAGUUGACAUGUUUAUAAAUAUAAGGGCUGCACUUCCUUGCAUUUCACAUGAAACUUAGAGUUUAAAUGGAGAGAGUAGAUAUACCACAUAUUCUACGAGGAAAAAUCUAGAGGAGUAAGUGGAAACACCCUACCAGUCUUGGCUCAACUGGAGUCUAUUAAACUUCUAGCUUUGAUCAUGUACCAUUGUUCACGCCCUCAUGUUGCUGGUGAGCAAAUCAACAACAAAUAACGUGUUGGAAAGCCCAGUUGUGCAGCUGGGGUAAGAUGCCAGAGCUUGAUCUCCUUUGCAUCAGCAGCUCCAGGGAUCAAACCUAAUGCACAGCCAAACAGCACAAUGAAUUAUUCACUUUGAGCUUCCACAAUCUCUCUGCCACUAGAAUGGGUCAUCUCUCAGGCUGUAAUUCAACCUCCUUCCUUUGUCUUCACUUCCCAACAGACCGCCAGGAAUGAGGCCCAACUCUGGGGAGACAUUCUAGCCUGGUGGCUGGGGGCCAUGAGCUGUGCGUGUCCAGAUGCUGGGUAGGCAUAUUGCUGUUUGAAUUUAACCAUUUUGAGUGAAUAAAGUCUAAAGUCAGCAUUGACAGCAGUGAUUUAUCUGCACUUCACAAUUAUUGAAUUUAGAUGCUCCAUCCACUUGCUGAUUUAUUAAACUGCUCUCUCCUCUGAGAGAGAAUCAAAGCACCUCCUUUGGCCCUAAUGGAUAGACACUUUGGAAGGACUUAGGGAAGCCAUUGUUGAUAAGACUCACUACCUAAAAGAGAACCCUGUCUCAUGUUGUCUUUGCACGAAAAUAACGUCCAUUAUUUGUGUUUCCUUCACAGUCAAUAACUCACCCUUUCCAGAGAAGGUGGGGUUGUUGGCAAACACCUCUGAUGUUGUAGGGGCUGAAGUGUCAGGCCUGGGCAAUGAGCUGCUUGCCACAUUUGCCUCCCUUCGCCCCCACCUUCCAGCUGUCUCUCCUUCAGCUGCAGAGCCUGAGGGUCCCCAGAUUGAAAGGAGACCCAUAGCUUGAGCCACCAGCUGGCUACACUUCCUGUUCACAGGUUCUACCUCCACAGAAACAACACUAGCCAGGACCUUGACCAUUCUCCUCUUCACAAAACAAUGCAGAUUCUGAAACCCCCCAGUGGAGACGGAGAGGAAAAAGGGGACAUGCGGCUGAAAUGAAUCCAGGCCUGGUAUGCCCACCACCCUCAUUGUUGGAAAAGGACUGUGAAUUCUCUGUGCCAACAGUAAUUGAUGAUUCCAAUUGGCGGAUGGCCUGUUAAUGAAAAGAUUACCAGGCAGCAGCAUAUCUAGUGUAGAAUUUUGGCUCCAUUCUGAGAAAAUAUAACUGGCUGGUGGGGAAAGGACAGAGCUCAGUUUACUUGCAGAGCCACCAGCUAUAGGUCUGUCUUGAAUUUAGGCUUCCAGGGCUGUGGAGGAAUAGAUGAGGUGUAGGUUAGUUACAAAGGAAAAAUAAUAGUGGUUGAAGCUGAUGAUAAAUGAAUGUCAGAAGGUGUGAUAUGUAGAAUUUCUGGAAACAUGUAUGAAACACAGUAACUAAUGUGCACAGUUCGUGAGCAUUUCAAAGCAUAUUCACAAUCAUUUUCAUUGAAUGGGUCAGUACUGAUCAGAAGCAGAAGUUGGAGGGGAACUCUUGUGGGAGAAGGGAAAGACACAAUAUUUAGUUAUUAGAAACAAAGUAAGUUAUUAAUACAUUUACGAGAAAGCAGACUAGUCAUUAAGAACUUAUGGAGAGCAUCUGGAGGACUGAGGACCUGUGGUUUCUCUCACUGUCAGGAAGAAGUCAGUUAGAUAACAAACCUUGCAGCUGCACAUCCAGGUUUACUGUUUUACCUAUUGAUGUUGCUGCAUAAAGAAGAUUCAGGUGGAAACUCUUUCUCACCUGUGUGCCUUAGCUUAGGCUAAGAACAAUUGUCAUGGCUGCCCUCUUCUUGCCCAGGAGGAAACCUGGGCCUGAUUGAUGCAGAGUAAUUAAGUAAAACCUGGAGCCAAAAUUUUCAUUUGAGGCUUAUAAUCACUCUGGGAAGCAGAUACCAUUGGUAUCUUUAAAAUAAGCAAACAUUGGCCGGGUGCGGUGGCACACACCUGUAAUCCUAGCACUUUGGGAGUCCGAGGUGGGAGAAUCACUGAGGUUAGGAGUUCAAGACCAGCCUGGCCAAUGUGGCAAAACCCCAUCUCUACUAAAAAUACAAAAAUUAGCCAGGCGUGGUGGCAGGUGCCUGUAAUCCCAACUACUUGGGAGGCUGAGGCAGGAGAAUCACUUGAACCUGGGAGGCGGAGGUUGCAGUAAGCCAAAAUUGUGCCACUGCACUCCAGCCUGGGCAACAGAGCAAGACUCCAUCUCCAAAAAAGAAAAAAAAAGAUAAAAUAAUUUUUUUAAAAUACAGACUUUGUUUUUCAAUAUGAACUCCAUCAAUUUCAAGACAUCUUUGUGAUGUCUUGUGAGGGAUGAUAGCAGUGAUUUAGUCCAUCCCUUGAGAACCAGGCAACAAGAGUGAGACUCUGUCUCAAAAAAAUAAAUAAAAAGCAGAGGCACAGAGGGGUUGAAUGACCUGCUCAAAGUGACACAUUCAUACUGUUUCUUUUAGAACUGAGAUUUUAGAUCAUGUGCUUCAAUAUUUUCUCCCAGCUCCUUCCUUUUUUUCUACAAAGAAGGGAAAUGGAAGUCCUGGAGAAGGGAAGGCCAAGUAGCUGGAACCUGGGGUUCCUGCACCUGUAGACUUGAGAUCAAUCUUCUCUUUCAUACAUAAUGGUUCCAAGUACAAUCUUAGAGAGAUCUCAUGCUACUAAAAAGUGUUUGAAGACCACUAUAAUAGACAAGCCAAUUUUCUCUUCAUGACAACCAGAUACAAAGAUGAAAUGAAAAAUUUGAAUGUUAUCUGAAGACCUGGUUUCUAUAUAUUAAGCCACUCUGCACAUAAAUAACACUUUCACUAACCCAAUACUAACGUAAACCGGAUACUCAGUCUCAGACUACUGAAUCUUGUAGAUGGAAAGUCUUCAGAAAUAUUGAUUAAAUUAAAUUGCAAGUCUCAACUGCACCAGCAACUGUAGUUCAUAGGUACAGUCCUGACUGACUCUCCCUGGGUCAGAAAAGGCCAGAUGCUUAUUUGAAAUUCAGAAUGAGGCCACAAGAGGCCAGAUUUAGAUUGUUACUUCUUGAGAGACAGAAACCUUUCAGCAUUUUGGCAAUUACUAUUGAAAAAACUACCCAGGGAGAAGGUAGUUUUAAACACAAUUAGGAUUCUAUUUUAAGGAGAAAUCAUAAACUGCCCAUUUAACGUGCUAAUGUUUGAUCUACUGUGAAGCAGAGAAGAGAGAAGCUAUUACAAAUUUGCUAAUACCAUCAAAACUUAUAAAGUGAUAAAAUGAGGCUACAUGAAGAACAUGCAGUCAUCCCAAGCAUUAGACAUGCUAAUAGCUGUGAAUAUAUAUGAGAGAAGAGAACUGUUCUGAGAAUCAGUGAGAUAAAUUGGGCUGUUUUAUCUGCAGUCUGCCCCAUGACCCUUGGUCACUCCUGAUUCUCAGACCACCUGAACGCUCUCCAAAGCAGGGACACACACUCCAAAAAACUAACAUCAUCAUGAGAACGUCUAUGGCAUUUAUUUUUAUUUUCUCCAUUUAAAAUGAUGAUUUUUCUGAUUUUUUAAUGCCCAUAAUAUUUUAGUACAGGAGUACACAAAUAUAAUUUUAAAUAAAUAGCUAUCCUACCCAAACUCAAGAACUGAACUAAUUCAGAUAUAUUUUAGGAUGAAUUCUUGGCAAUCCAAAUUCUGACCGCUUGAUGUCAGAACCAAAUAGAUUUGGAUAAACUGAUACUCUUCACUAUCCAAAUGUACCAUCUCAACUCAGGAACUGAUAUUUUUAGAUAGCGAAGGAUAGCUGUGUGUAAUUAUGGAGAUGCCAGUUUGUUGUUGUUUUUACUGAUAAAAUGCACUAUUAAAAGAACUGAGGAGAUCACAGCUGCAGAUGACUGAUCGACCUGACUCUGAGUCACGGUCAGACAGGGCCUGCAGAAGUCGGGACAGAGCGAAACGCUCUGUCUGUGCUUCUGUGUCAAGUACACUUGUAUAUUUCUUGGAGAUUAGGUUCUGACCUCGGUGAAUAAAGUGAAAGUUCGUAUAUCCACAUUUUCCCUUGAAAAUCCCUUGGGAAGAUAUAUUUUGGAGGCUAAGUUUUUUCUUUAGUUUGGGAAAAG